RNAcentral lists this non-coding RNA (120 nucleotides) under Symbiodinium kawagutii. Lineage: Eukaryota; Dinophyceae; Suessiales; Symbiodiniaceae. The record is from RNAcentral.
CGAAGACAAAGGGUACAGGGUGACAGUGACGAGUUUGAAGGUGCCCGACUUUGAAGCGGAAGCUUCGUGCGGUCCUGGCUUCGAAGGGGAUGCAAAGGUGGAGGCCUGUGACGCAGCAGA